RNAcentral lists this ribosomal RNA (172 nucleotides) under uncultured bacterium. RNAcentral describes it as "partial 16S ribosomal RNA". It matches the Rfam family "Bacterial small subunit ribosomal RNA", at positions 335 to 524 of the family's 1533-position model. The record is from RNAcentral.
ACUCCUACGGGAGGCAGCAGUGGGGAAUAUUGCACAAUGGAGGAAACUCUGAUGCAGCGACGCCGCGUGGAGGAAGAAGGUUUUCGGAUCGUAAACUCCUGUUGUCGGGGACGAUAAUGACGGUACCCGACAAGAAAGUGACGGCUAACUACGUGCCAGCAGCCGCGGUAAU